CUUUGAACAGGCCGAUAUAUAAAUUAUUAUUUUUAUUAUUAUUUUUUUUUAUUUGUAGUUGGUGUUUUUAAAUGUAUAUUUGCUCAUUGUAAAACGUAGUUAUUUAUUAAUAAUAAUAAAAAAUUGUUCUUAAGUGAACUCGAGUGGGCAGCCAAUCACCGCGCGGCGUCUGAUCGUCCUCAGGCGCGCGCUCAGCAGCACAGCGCACAUUCACGCGCGGAUCGCAGCGAGCGUCGCGUCGUCCCGCGCCUCUCAUUCCCGCGGAUGUCUAACACAAACAUGUUUCUCUAGAUACUGACAGAAAGAAGAAAAAGAAAGAGGCGUCAUUCAGCUGCAUCAAGAGAGACUCGGAGCGACUCGGAGCGAGCGACACUGACGUGGGAUCAGAGCUCUGGAGGGCCAGCAGAGGGCAAAGG
Molecule: long non-coding RNA, 416 nt
Organism: Cyprinus carpio (common carp)
Lineage: Eukaryota; Metazoa; Chordata; Actinopteri; Cypriniformes; Cyprinidae
Exons: 2
Source: RefSeq, a predicted model, not a curated record